Molecule: unclassified non-coding RNA, 630 nt
Filed under: Hermetia illucens (black soldier fly)
Lineage: Eukaryota; Metazoa; Arthropoda; Insecta; Diptera; Stratiomyidae
Description: uncharacterized LOC119656078, transcript variant X2
Source: RNAcentral
GAAUCAGUGUAACAUAGAGUUUGGCCACGGAUCUAAAUUGUCAAUAAGCAAUCGCCAUACCUUCCAAUUUGGACACAGUACAAUAAGCAGACGCCACCCGCAAAACUCUCCAUCUCUGCACUUGGACAACGCGGUUACGAUGUAAUUAAUUGCCAAGGGCAUCAGCAUCACCUAAUUGCCGAGGGCAUCAACUUACAAAAAGACGUCUCCUGGUAGAUAUAGGACCCUCAACAUUCACCAUUAGCCAACUCAAGGCCGAGACUCCAACUGCAGCUUUAUCCGUCGCUGCUUGGAUUUUCUGAAGGAAGCUUACCUUCCAGCCGAACAUUAAACCCAAGUAUUUAACUGCUGGUUUUAACAAUAUGAUCAACCCGCGGAACGAUGUGGAACUCCCGACCCUAGGCGCAACUUUCCAGGCAUGACGAGUUUUAGCAGACUAUCACAGGAAGUGAUCCAAAGAUCCGGACCUGACAUGGAUGGAUUCCUGUGCUACCCUCGACGUCAUCCCCAUCGUCCUCUGGCUCUCUACCGUCUCAUAAACAGGAAGCCGUCUCCCAGAUAAUCCCUCAACAUCCGCAAGAGACACUUCGUUAUGUCAAAUGAGUUUCCUAAUGCGCCUAAUAUAUCUGU